GGUGUUUUAAUAGGGAUUAGAUGAAAUUUAUUAGUCUCAGCUGGAAUGUGAACCCGGAGGAAACCAACACGGACACGGGGAGAACAUGUGAAACUUUGCAGAUGAUAACCCGAGCUCAGGAUAAUAAUUUGCAUGUAUUUAUGGAAAUGAUGUGCUGUCUAAUUGAACAUGCACACAUUAGCAUACAUUAUAAAACUGGAGAUCAGAUAGCCAGGAUCGGUAUCGGGCCGAUGCCAACAAAAAGUAGUGAAGCGGAUAUCGGAGGGGAGGAAAAUAAACAAAUGAAUAAAUAAAUAAAAGUAUGAAUCUGAUCUCAUCCUGUAACAAAGGGAAAAGAUUGGAACUUAAUUUGGAAGAGAUUUUUUUUUUGGAACAGGUAACGUUUACAUAUAAAUACAAUAAACUUGAUUGUAUGGUAUCUGGUUAGGCUUGAUUUGUAUUAUAUUUACACUGUAUACUUUAUUAUAUUUGCCAUGUACAGUAGGUGGUUUUUUUCAGUCAUUUUUUUUUUUUAAAAAUGAAGAGUAUUUUUAAAGCUAGUUUUAAAAGGGGGGGGGAAAUCAGCUGGGUAUUAAUAUCAGCAGCUAGUCGAGGUUUCGGUAUUGGUAUCCUAUCAGAAAAGAAAAAGAGUUAUCAUGCCAUCUCUAAAUAAAACCAAAAAUGUUGACUUUUGCUGUUGCUAGAAUUAAAAUAUUUUAUUUCACUGUGCUCGCAAGAGAUCGUCAGAACAUCAUUUCUUCUUUGUUUCGUUGAUAAAUAACAUGCACCGUUAGAAAUAAAUUUAUUUUACGCCAUUUUUAAUUAUAAAAUCUAACAUGGAUCCAACAAUAAUUAACGUUUUGGGAAAUUCAUCUGUAAGGUCCUUCUAAUUAGCAACAGGAACGAAUGUAUUAUUGUAAUUUAAUGAAAACAUUGACAGAAAAAAAAAAUAUUUUGGGGAAAACUGUUUAAAAAUACAGUGGUUUGAUGUGCUUCCAUUCUAGUUAGUGUGGUUUAUAAAGGAAAUUGACAUGUACAUCUUAAUAACACAUACAUUCGUAUAUACACUAUAUGGCCAG
Molecule: long non-coding RNA, 1058 nt
Organism: Ictalurus punctatus (channel catfish)
Lineage: Eukaryota; Metazoa; Chordata; Actinopteri; Siluriformes; Ictaluridae
Source: Ensembl